This 517-nucleotide ribosomal RNA is filed under the name uncultured bacterium. RNAcentral's name for it is "bacterial SSU rRNA". It matches the Rfam family "Bacterial small subunit ribosomal RNA", at positions 350 to 860 of the family's 1533-position model. The record is from RNAcentral.
AGCAGUGGGGAAUUUUGGACAAAUGGGGAAAGCCUGAUCCAGCCAUACCGCGUGAGUGAAGAAGGCCUUCGGGUUGUAAAGCUCUUUCAGCUGGGAAGAAACGGUUGUGGUUAAUAUCCGCAACUAAUGACGGUACCAUCAGAAGAAGCACCGGCUAAUUUCGUGCCAGCAGCCGCGGUAAUACGUAGGGUGCGAGCGUUAUUCGGAAUUACUGGGCGUAAAGCGUGCGCAGGCGGUUUUUUAAGCCAGAUGUGAAAUCCCCGGGCUCAACCUGGGAACUGCAUUUGGAACUGUAAGACUAGAGUAUAGCAGAGGGAGGUAGAAUUCCACGUGUAGCAGUGAAAUGCGUAGAUAUGUGGAGGAAUACCAAUGGCGAAGGCAGCUUCCUGGGUUAAUACUGACGCUCAUGCACGAAAGCGUGGGGAGCCAACAGGAUUAGAUACCCUGGUAUUCCACGCCCUAAACGAUUUCAAUUAGUGUUGGGGAAGGAGAUUCUUCAGUAACGCAGCUAACGCGA